AGUAGUGGCUAGUGAUGGACAAUACUUUGAAUAAAACAUGCCAACAUGGUGUACCCAGACGGACCAUUAGUUCCAACGUUGUUUAACUGCAGUAAUCGGAUGAGAACUAGUAUGUUCAAUGUGGUAUGUGUGUAUGUGUAAAUAUUGGCUAUAAAAAUUACGCCAUGUGAGUAUUUUUAUAUAAAAACUUGAUAUAUUUAAUAUUCUAAGAUAAAUUUGUAAACAAUUAAUCGAUUUCAUCUUCUCAUCUUUUUUCAAUUACUUUUCUCCCAGUCUUUUUUGAAUCUUUUUUUGAGGUCAUGAAAAAUUUUCCCAGUACUUUACAUAUCUCUCAUUUUAAAUAUAGAAAGCAUAACAGAGUGCAACACAUACCAAAAGAACAAUAUAAUACUCUUUAAACAUAAGUUAAAAAAGAAAAUUUUCGCAGAGCGGAAGGAAAGACUUCUUGCAAAAUCAGUUUUAAAGACUGAUUUUGUAGUAAACGCACACAGCUUUUAUUACACAUUUAUACUAUAAUUAUAAAAUAAGUUGAAAUUAUAAAUACAGUGCGGGUUAAAUACUCGCGUGUGUACGUAUAAAGCGAAAAAGGACUGCAGAGAUUCUGAAUGUCUAACUGGAUAUGGCUUGUUUUUGUGACCCUUGUUUAAUAUAUCAAGAAAAAUAAAACACGGCAUCGUUAGUGGCUUCGGAUUCCGGUUUAAACACUCUUGAGUAAAUAAUAUAUCUAG
Molecule: long non-coding RNA, 728 nt
Organism: Harpegnathos saltator (Jerdon's jumping ant)
Lineage: Eukaryota; Metazoa; Arthropoda; Insecta; Hymenoptera; Formicidae
Exons: 2
Source: RefSeq, a predicted model, not a curated record